This 404-nucleotide ribosomal RNA is filed under the name Actinomycetes bacterium. RNAcentral describes it as "Actinobacteria bacterium partial 16S ribosomal RNA". It matches the Rfam family "Bacterial small subunit ribosomal RNA", at positions 355 to 776 of the family's 1533-position model. The record is from RNAcentral. Lineage: Bacteria; Bacillati; Actinomycetota; Actinomycetes.
UGGGGAAUAUUGGACAAUGGGCGCAAGCCUGAUCCAGCCAUGCUGCGUGAGUGAUGAAGGCCCUAGGGUUGUAAAGCUCUUUCACCGGUGAAGAUAAUGACGGUAACCGGAGAAGAAGCCCCGGCUAACUUCGUGCCAGCAGCCGCGGUAAUACGAAGGGGGCUAGCGUUGUUCGGAUUUACUGGGCGUAAAGCGCACGUAGGCGGACUUUUAAGUCAGGGGUGAAGUCCCGGGGCUCAACCCCGGAGCUGCCUUUGAUACUGGAAGUCUUGAGUAUGGUAAAGGUGAGUGGAGUUCCGAGUGUAGAGGUGAAAUUCGUAGAUAUUCGGAGAAACACCAGUGGAGAGGGCGGCUCACUGGACCAUUACUGACGCUGAGGUGCGAAAGCGUGGGGAGCAAACAGG